CCUACGGGAGGCUGCAGUGGGGAAUAUUGGACAAUGGGGGGAACCCUGAUCCAGCCAUGCCGCGUGUGUGAAGAAGGCCCUCGGGUUGUAAAGCACUUUCAGUGAGGAAGAACGCCUGGUGGUUAAUACCCAUCAGGAAAGACAUCACUCACAGAAGAAGCACCGGCUAACUCCGUGCCAGCAGCCGCGGUAAUACGGAGGGUGCGAGCGUUAAUCGGAAUUACUGGGCGUAAAGCGCGCGUAGGUGGCUUGAUAAGCCGGUUGUGAGAGCCCCGGGCUCAACCUGGGAACGGCAUCCGGAACUGUCAAGCUAGAGUGCAGGAGAGGAAGGUAGAAUUCCCGGUGUAGCGGUGAAAUGCGUAGAGAUCGGGAGGAAUACCAGUGGCGAAGGCGGCCUUCUGGACUGACACUGACACUGAGGUGCGAAAGCGUGGGUAGCAAACAGGAUUAGAUACCCUAGUAGUC
This 465-nucleotide ribosomal RNA is filed under the name Vreelandella stevensii. RNAcentral's name for it is "partial 16S ribosomal RNA". It matches the Rfam family "Bacterial small subunit ribosomal RNA", at positions 338 to 795 of the family's 1533-position model. The record is from RNAcentral. Lineage: Bacteria; Pseudomonadati; Pseudomonadota; Gammaproteobacteria; Oceanospirillales; Halomonadaceae.